This 402-nucleotide ribosomal RNA is filed under the name uncultured bacterium. RNAcentral's name for it is "bacterial SSU rRNA". It matches the Rfam family "Bacterial small subunit ribosomal RNA", at positions 355 to 774 of the family's 1533-position model. The record is from RNAcentral.
UCGGGAAUUUUGGGCAAUGGGCGAAAGCCUGACCCAGCAACGCCGCGUGAGGGAUGAAGUAUUUCGGUAUGUAAACCUCGAAAGAAUGGGAAGAAUAAAUGACGGUACCAUUUAUAAGCUCCGGCUAACUACGUGCCAGCAGCCGCGGUAAUACGUAGGGAGCAAGCGUUGUUCGGAUUUACUGGGCGUAAAGAGUGCGUAGGCGGUUUUCUAAGUUCGGUGUGAAAUCUCCCGGCUUAACUGGGAGGGUGCGCCGAAGACUGGGAAGCUGGAGUGUGGGAAAGGCAGGCGGAAUUCCUGGUGUAGCGGUGAAAUGCGUAGAUAUCAGGAGGAACACCGGCGGUGUAGACGGCUUGCUAGACCAUAACUGACGCUGAGGCACGAAAGCGUGGGUAGCAAACA